UGGGUGAGCAUAUGUCAUGCAUUUUGGCCAUUAAAAAGCUUGGUAUUAAUGUAAGCUUGGUUAGAGAUCUUUAAAAAAGAAAAAAAAAAAAGAAAAAGAAAAAGGGCUAAAUGGUUUGCACGUCACAAGUAGUGGCCUCCCACACAGAAUAAUGUUUGUUUUUAAGGGUCCUUGCGGUUGUAGGUAGGAUGAUACUUAAGAUUUAUCUUUUUAAAUAAAGCAGCUACUAUGAAAAUAAUAUAUCAAAAUUGAGGAUCAAGGUAAGUUGUAGUUUCCUAAUUAGUUAGUUGAGCUACCUAAGCAAUGCAGCUAUCCUCCAAGGAGCCUACUUCUUUACCUUUCGAUUUCCCAAAUGACCCUCUAGAUGUUGUCAUUUGUGGUAGAUUAUACUCCAAUGGGUGUGAAUGAUCUAAACAUCACUUCGGAUAAAGUUAUGCCAAUGAACCUUAUGUAGUAAUGCCAUUUUAUUCAGAGAUUCUCACCCAUUUAGGUUCACCAAGUAAGUUCAAACUAAAUCUGGCCAGCCUCAUCAAAUUGUUUUUGGGUAGCUUUUGCUACUAUAUAAAAUUAAUUAUCACAGUUUCAUGUGGUUACCACCCAAUUUUGGGCAGCUUUUGUCAAUUUUGAAUUUGUCACAGUGAUGGGUUGUUUCUUUGGCUGCUUCCGAAUCAGAGACGAUCAUCGCCACCCCCAGACUCAUCUUGCCUCAGAACCACCCUUCGAAGCUCAGAGUACUCCUCUGUGUGUGUGUGUGUGUGUGCGCGCGCGCAUGUGUGUUAAAUUCUCCAUUUUCUUGUUUUGAAUUGUGAGUUUUGUUGUUCGUUUUUCUGUUUCUAAACCAGGAACCUGUUGUAUCUCAGAAUCCUCCGUCUUCUCUACUACUUGCUGAUGAUAAAGAUGGAUUCCCAUGUAAAGAUGAGGAAAAUCCUGCCUUGAAGACUCCAGAGCAUGGCAACAACAAUGGGGAGCUCAAGGAUGAGGUGUGUGUUGUUAUCUGCUAUCAGUUUUCUUUAAAGUAGUUUGAGGAGGUAUGAUCGGGUAACUAGGGGACACAUCUAUUCUAUAUUAAAAGAAAACUUUUGUCAUGCCUUUUUGAUUUUCCAAAAAUACCGCAGAAAUUGUUAACUACAAAUUCCAUAUCAAAUUACUGCUCUAAACCGUUUUCGAAUUCAGCCCAUUUUCAUCAUCAUUUAUUAAACUAGCCAAACCACCAAAAACAUCAAAAAAUUAGACCUACACUUGCAAAUGUUGUGUUUGCACCAACCGGCCAUAUCCAUGCCUCUGUUCACAGGCUCUUGGUAUGCUAUUACUUGUUGGGUUUUAGCUCACCCUAUUCCUCAUAUAUGUAUAUAGGUGAUGAGGUUUGAACAGUGGGCUUGUGUAUACAUAUUGUGUGAAUACUAGUGCCUGCUCUUAGACUUGGCUUGGAACUUAUUGUUUUGUUUUGUUUUGGAGCAUUGUAUAUAUUGAGACAUGUAGUCUCUUUUGAUUUGUACUUCUUAAUUUAUAGAUGUUAUCACUUGAUAGAUUGUGAAGUGCCGAGGGAAUCCUUCACCUUAGAGGCAAAGACUCUCUUGAAAUUUAUAAAUUUGGAGAAUACUAGGCUCUCUUGGAAUGUGUGAUUGCAUCUGUUGUUGCUGUUGCUGCUGCAACAUCUGCUCUUCAAAUCCCUACAAUUGGUAUUGGGACAGGGCGUUUCUGGUUCUCCCUCUGACAUCCAGAUCCAAAAUGAAGGAUAUUAUUUGUAGUUGAGAGCUAAAGAUGCUCUGCUAAAUGCCUCUUCUUAUGGCUGCUAAAAGAUUUAGUUCAGGCCCCUCACAGGUGGAACUGCUUCUUUCUUUCUGUGUGGAGAUGAGCUUUUCUUCAGUUAUACCUGUUGGUCACAAUGAUGGAGGCUUGCUUGCCUUAAAAGCUGCACAGAGCUCAUGCUUCACCAAAUUCUGUCAAUGUUCAGUAUCUUAGCAGCAGCAGCAGCAGCAAUGGAGGUCAAAUUGGAGCCACCACCGAAGGCAAUCACCUCUCCCUGUCAAUGAGCAACAAUCAGCAAAGGCCGUUCAUCAAUCCUCCGCAACUGUUUGCAACUGCUGCAGCAUCAUCAGGAUUCCCACAGUAGAUAAUUACCCGACCCCAAAAUUGGCUACACCAGAAAAAUUGAUUUUACUCUCUGAUGAGACCCUCUUGACCCAACUUUUUGUUUUUUGUUUUGUAAAUCUUUAUGUAACAAGGCCUUUGGAGUUUGUAAGCAUGUAAAGAUUAAUGCUUUGAGCUUAUAUUUCUUCAUUUGUGUGUUUCUAAAACCGUACAUAUGCAUUAUUAUUUAGGCUGCCUUCUUAUUUAUUAUUA
Camellia sinensis is the source of this 2343-nucleotide non-coding RNA. The record is from RefSeq and is a predicted model, not a curated record. Lineage: Eukaryota; Viridiplantae; Streptophyta; Magnoliopsida; Ericales; Theaceae.